AGCGCGGGUGCGAGUCAAAGGGUGCAAGCCCGUGGGCGAAGUGAAAGCGAGUUUAAAAACGAGCAGUUUGGGGCGGCAUAAGAUCGUUGAUCUUAAGACUGACCCAGAGCAGUUGCGCUGGGACCCGAAAGGUGGUGAACUAUGCCUGAGUAGGGCAAAGCCAGAGGAAACUCUGGUGGAGGCUCGUAGCGGUGCUGACGUGCAAAUCGCUCGUCGAACUUGGGUAUAGGGGCGAAAGACUAAUCGAACCAUCUAGUAGCUGGUUCCCUCCGAAGUUUCUCUCAGGAUAGCGGGCCGACAAGUUGUUUUGUGCGGUAAAGCGAAUGAUUAGCGCACUUGGGGGCGUUUAGCCUUCAGGCGAUUCUCAAACUUUCAAUGCGCAAGGGUGCCGCUGCUUAAUUGAGCGGUACCGGUAAAAACGUCGACCCAGUGGGCCACUUUUGGUAAGCAGAACUGGCGAUACGGGAUGAACCGUAAGCAAGGUUAAGGCGCCAAACUGCCCGCUUAUAGACCCCACAAAAGGUGUUGAUUCAUCGAGACAGCAGGACGGUGGCCAUGGAAGUCGGAAUCCGCCAAGGAGUGUGUAACAACUCACCUGCCGAAUGAAUUAGCCCUGAAAAUGGAUGGCGCUGAAGCGGGCGGCCGACACCUUGCCGUUUGAACAAGAAUUUCAGAUGAGUAGGAGGGCGUGGCGGCCGUGUCGAAGCACGCGUGCAGACGCAUGUGGAACGGCCGCUAGUGCAGAUCUUGGUGGUAGUAGCAAGUAUUCAAGCGAGAUCCUUGAAGGGCGAAGUGGGGAAGGGUUUCACGCGAACAUUGAUUGGGCGUGAGUGAGUCGUUCCUAAGCCGAGUGGCAAUUGCUAAUUACCGGCGAAAGGGAAGCGGGUUGACAUUCCCGCACACGGAUGUGGAGGCGGCGACGCAUUAUUGGGGCGAACACGCUGGCGAUGGCGCUGGGCAGAGUUGUCUUUUCUGUUUGACCGCUUGCGCACGCAGUGUGGAAUCCUCUUGUAGGGAGAAACACGCGUGUACGGGCAGAGCGCUGGGGCUUUUCCAGCGUCCAGCUCGCCAUCGACGGCCCUUGAAACUUUGCCUGCUG
RNAcentral lists this ribosomal RNA (1099 nucleotides) under Ahnfeltiopsis linearis. Its description in RNAcentral is "eukaryotic LSU rRNA". It matches the Rfam family "Eukaryotic large subunit ribosomal RNA", at positions 677 to 1828 of the family's 3401-position model. The record is from RNAcentral. Lineage: Eukaryota; Rhodophyta; Florideophyceae; Gigartinales; Phyllophoraceae.